This 716-nucleotide ribosomal RNA is filed under the name Prismatolaimus dolichurus. RNAcentral describes it as "partial large subunit ribosomal RNA". It matches the Rfam family "Eukaryotic large subunit ribosomal RNA", at positions 407 to 949 of the family's 3401-position model. Lineage: Eukaryota; Metazoa; Nematoda; Enoplea; Triplonchida; Prismatolaimidae. The record is from RNAcentral.
GCUUAGAAGUAAACGGGUGGAGCUGCCAUUACGUCUACUGGAUUCAGCUUGUCGGUAGCAGACUGCUUUCUCUUGAUCGCAAGACAGGAGUGUGGUUCUGGUUUGUUGCCGGUAGGUGCAUUUUCGGUAGAAGUGCGCCACGACCAACUGGAACGUCAGCUAAAGGCCGGAGUGAUUGCCGUCUGUGAGCUUGCUUGCAGUGCCCCGUCCUCCGAGUCGGCUAGAUUGGUCCGGUUGAGUAAACGACCGCACCCGCUUGUCACAGGUUAUCCGGUUUGGGGUCGCCGAAUGCCUAGCUGUGCACGCACGGCUGGGUGUACCCUGGUUUCAAAGCCGGAUAAUGCUGAGAUGGUGCAUAUGGUCAGUGGCGUCCGUGUCAGCCAACCACCCGACCCGUCUUGAAACACGGACCAAGGAGUCUAACAUGUGCGCAAGUCAUUGGGUUGCAAAACCUAAAGGCGUAAUAAAAGUGAAGGUUAGCUUCCGCUAGCUAAGGUGGGAUUCUUGGCUUGACCGAGACGCACCACCGUCCCAUCGCAUCUGCUUGCCAGAGCGGUGGAGAAAGAGCGUACACGUUGGGACCCGAAAGAUGGUGAACUAUGCCUGAGCAGGAUGAAGCCAGAGGAAACUCUGGUGGAGGUCCGUAGCGGUUCUGACGUGCAAAUCGAUCGUCAGACUUGGGUAUAGGGGCGAAAGACUAAUCGAACCAUCUAGUA